Brienomyrus brachyistius is the source of this 326-nucleotide long non-coding RNA. RefSeq lists it as uncharacterized. The transcript is spliced from 3 exons. NCBI's taxonomy places the organism in Eukaryota, Metazoa, Chordata, Actinopteri, Osteoglossiformes, Mormyridae. The record is from RefSeq and is a predicted model, not a curated record.
GGGCACAGGGACAUGGUGGGCACAGGGACAAGGAGGGCACAGGGACAUGGAGGGCACAGGGACAAGGAGGGCACUGGGACAUGGAGGGCACAGGGACAUGGUGGGCACAGGGACAUGGAGGGCACAGGGACAUGGAGGGCACAGGGACAAGGAGGGCACAGGGACAUGGAGGGCACAGGGACAUGGAGGGCACAGGGACAAGGAGGGCACUCCACUCCAUCCCCCUGCUGGUCUGCGAUCACAUUGUGCUUAACGAUCCAAGCAUGCUUUUGUUAUCAGCGUGCGACUUCUUGUGUUGAAGGUGAUAUAGGAAGAUAAGUGCUAUC